UUCCAAUGGCAGGCAGGAAAUCUUGUAGUAGGUGAUCGUGGCCUUCCUUGGGAUCCCUGUUUCCCCCUUUUAUUCCCUUUUCACCCAGUAAAACCCUGCUUUGCUCACUCUUUAAAGCAUCUGUGAGCGUAAAUUUUUGUGGCCAUGGGAUGGACAAGAACCACAUGUUUACCUGAAGUCCUGUGACAUUUUGGUGUGCAGCAUGGGAGCUCCAAAAGUGACAUUCUUUCAGAUGCCAGAGGAUGCUAUAGAAAAAUGCGUGCCCUCUUGUAAUACUUUGUUCAAGUUCUGAUCAGAAGGAUGAAUGAUGGAGCCCAAGAAGCCAGAGUCUCAUUGUGUUGCUCAGGCUGGAAUCCAGUGGCAUGAUCUCGGCUCAGUGCAACCUCCGCCUCCUGGGUUCAAGCAGUUCUCCUAGAUCAGCAUCAGCGUCCCGAGUAGCUGGGAUUACAGGCACCCGCCACCAUGCCUGGCUAAUGUUGGUCAGGCUGGCUCGAACUCCUGACCUCAAGAGAUCCACCUGCUUUGGCCUCCCAAAGUGCUCGGAUUACAGGCAUGAGCUGCCACACCCAGCCUCCAAAUACUUUUUUUUUAAAUCAAAAUAAUGAUUUCAAUGACUGAGAUCUGUUAUGUAUUUCAACAUAAUCAUGUUUCAUAAAGAUUUAGUCUUCUGAAA
This 673-nucleotide long non-coding RNA is filed under the name Homo sapiens (human). RNAcentral describes it as "HSALNT0337476". Lineage: Eukaryota; Metazoa; Chordata; Mammalia; Primates; Hominidae. The record is from RNAcentral.